Long non-coding RNA from Ailuropoda melanoleuca (giant panda), 500 nucleotides. RefSeq lists it as uncharacterized. The record is from RefSeq and is a predicted model, not a curated record. The transcript is spliced from 3 exons. NCBI's taxonomy places the organism in Eukaryota, Metazoa, Chordata, Mammalia, Carnivora, Ursidae.
UGCCUUUCAAACAGUCGGAAGUGUGAGUUACCAGAAACCACAAGAGAGAGAGAGCGAGCACGAGCCCCAAAGCGAGCGACAUGUCCCUGUGGGGAGCAGUGCCUCUGCACCCCAGAGUGAGGAGGACGCAGGGGUCAGAGGUGGCUGCAGGGCGGGCAGAGGAGGGAGCUGUGCAGGGGGCUGAGCUGGUGGCCCGGGAGCCGUCAGGAAGGGAGGCCGGCUGGUGACCAGAGAGCCCAGAGGCGCCUGGGGCUGUGUGGAGAGCCCGGAAGAUUGCAGCCAUGCCUCACAGCUCCGACAGCAGCGACUCCAGCUUCAGCCGCUCUCCUCCCCCCGGCAAACAGGACUCAUCUGAUGAUGUGAGAAAAGUUCAGAGAAGGGAGAAAAAUCGCAUUGCCGCCCAGAAGAGCCGACAAAGGCAGACACAGAAAGCUGACACGCUGCACUUGGUGAGUGUUCAGACCUUUCUUCAUCCUUUUGAGUCUUAGGCUUUGCUCCCC